GAUGAACGCUAGCUACAGGCUUAACACAUGCAAGUCGCGGGGCAGCAUGAAUUUAGCUUGCUAAAUUUGAUGGCGACCGGCGCACGGGUGAGUAACGCGUAUCCAACCUGCCCAUGUCCACGGGAUAGCCCGUCGAAAGGCGGAUUAAUACCGUAUGAGGUCACACGAUGGCAUCUAAGUGUGACGAAAGGUUUGGCGGACAUGGAUGGGGAUGCGUCCGAUUAGCUAGUUGGCGGGGUAACGGCCCACCAAGGCGACGAUCGGUAGGGGUUCUGAGAGGAAGGUCCCCCACAUUGGAACUGAGACACGGUCCAAACUCCUACGGGAGGCAGCAGUGAGGAAUAUUGGUCAAUGGACGUAAGUCUGAACCAGCCAAGUAGCGUGCAGGAUGACGGCCCUAUGGGUUGUAAACUGCUUUUAUGCGGGGAUAAAGUGUGGGACGUGUCCCAUAUUGCAGGUACUGCAUGAAUAAGGACCGGCUAAUUCCGUGCCAGCA
Molecule: ribosomal RNA, 496 nt
Filed under: uncultured bacterium
Lineage: Bacteria
Description: bacterial SSU rRNA
Rfam family: Bacterial small subunit ribosomal RNA
Source: RNAcentral